UUCCGGUUGAUUCCUGCCGGAGGCGACUGCUAUUGGAGUUCGAUUAAGCCAUGCGAGUAGAAAGAAAUUAGAUUCUUUGCAUACUGCUCAGUAACACGUGGAUAACCUGCCCUACACUGGGGGAUAAACUCGGGAAACUGAGUAUAAUACCCCAUAGACCACUACGCCUGGAACGGUGAGUGGUUGAAAGCUCAGGCGGUGUAGGAUGGGUCUGCGGCGUAUCAGGUCGUAGGGGGUGUAAUGGACCUCCUAGCCAUCGACGCGUACGGGUUGUGGGAGCAAUAGCCCGGAGACAGAUUCUGAGACACGAAUCCGGACCCUACGGGGUGCAGCAGGCGCGAAAACUUCACACUGCAGGAAACUGUGAUGAGGGAACUCCAAGUGACUGCCCAAUGGGUAGCCUUUUCUUGAAUCUUAAUAGUUCUUGGAAUAAGGGCUGGGAAAGACCGGUGCCAGCCGCCGCGGUAAUACCGGCAGCUCAAGUGGUCGUCGCUUUUAUUGGGCCUAAAACGUCCGUAGCCUGUUUGGUAAAUCUGUGGGUAAAUCAACGAGCUUAACUCGUUGAAUUCUGCAGAGACUGCCAGACUAGGGACCGGGAGAGGUAUGAGGUACUCUGGGGGUAGGGGUAAAAUCCUGUCAUCCUCAGAGGACCACCUGUUGCGAAGGCGUCAUACUGGAACGGAUCCGACGGUCAGGGACGAAGCCUAGGGGCACGAACCGGAUUAGAUACCCGGGUAGUCCUAGGUGUAAACGCUGUGGAUUAGGUGUGUGGGGUCCGCAAUGGGCCCCAUGUGCCGGAGUGAAGAUGUUAAAUCCACGGCCUGGGGAGUACGGUCGCAAGGCUGAAACUUAAAGGGAAUUGGCGGGGCAGCAC
RNAcentral lists this ribosomal RNA (874 nucleotides) under uncultured euryarchaeote. Its description in RNAcentral is "bacterial SSU rRNA". It matches the Rfam family "Archaeal small subunit ribosomal RNA", at positions 1 to 879 of the family's 1478-position model. The record is from RNAcentral. Lineage: Archaea; Methanobacteriati; Methanobacteriota.